This 77-nucleotide microRNA precursor is filed under the name Ovis aries (sheep). Its description in RNAcentral is "miRNA (ENSOARG00000021631.1)". Lineage: Eukaryota; Metazoa; Chordata; Mammalia; Artiodactyla; Bovidae. The record is from RNAcentral.
UUGGGUGGGCCAAAAAGUUUGUUUGGGUUUUUCUGAAAAAUCCAAAAAAACCCAAACAAAUUUUUUGGCCCACCAGU